UACGUAGGGCGCAAGCGUUAUCCGGAAUUAUUGGGCGUAAAGAGCUCGUAGGCGGUUUGUCGCGUCUGCUGUGAAAACUGGGGGGCUCAACCCCCCAGCCUGCAGUGGGUACGGGCAGACUAGAGUGCGGUAGGGGGAGAUUGGAAUUCCUGGUGUAGCGGUGGAAUGCGCAGAUAUCAGGAGGAACACCGAUGGCGAAGGCAGAUCUCUGGGCCGUAACUGACGCUGAGGAGCGAAAGCAUGGGGAGCGAACAGG
This 256-nucleotide ribosomal RNA is filed under the name uncultured bacterium. RNAcentral describes it as "partial 16S ribosomal RNA". It matches the Rfam family "Bacterial small subunit ribosomal RNA", at positions 524 to 776 of the family's 1533-position model. The record is from RNAcentral.